RNAcentral lists this ribosomal RNA (1012 nucleotides) under uncultured bacterium. Its description in RNAcentral is "bacterial SSU rRNA". It matches the Rfam family "Bacterial small subunit ribosomal RNA", at positions 355 to 1375 of the family's 1533-position model. The record is from RNAcentral.
UGGGGAAUAUUGCACAAUGGGCGCAAGCCUGAUGCAGCGACCCCGCGUGCGGGAUGACGGCCUUCGGGUUGUAAACCGCUUUUGAUCGGGAGCAAGCCUUCGGGUGAGUGUACCUUUCGAAUAAGCACCGGCUAACUACGUGCCAGCAGCCGCGGUAAUACGUAGGGUGCAAGCGUUAUCCGGAAUUAUUGGGCGUAAAGGGCUCGUAGGCGGUUCGUCGCGUCCGGUGUGAAAGUCCAUCGCUUAACGGUGGAUCUGCGCCGGGUACGGGCGGGCUGGAGUGCGGUAGGGGAGACUGGAAUUCCCGGUGUAACGGUGGAAUGUGUAGAUAUCGGGAAGAACACCAAUGGCGAAGGCAGGUCUCUGGGCCGUUACUGACGCUGAGGAGCGAAAGCGUGGGGAGCGAACAGGAUUAGAUACCCUGGUAGUCCACGCCGUAAACGGUGGAUGCUGGAUGUGGGGCCCGUUCCACGGGUUCCGUGUCGGAGCUAACGCGUUAAGCAUCCCGCCUGGGGAGUACGGCCGCAAGGCUAAAACUCAAAGAAAUUGACGGGGGCCCGCACAAGCGGCGGAGCAUGCGGAUUAAUUCGAUGCAACGCGAAGAACCUUACCUGGGCUUGACAUGUUCCCGACAGCCGUAGAGAUAUGGCCUCCCUUCGGGGCGGGUUCACAGGUGGUGCAUGGUCGUCGUCAGCUCGUGUCGUGAGAUGUUGGGUUAAGUCCCGCAACGAGCGCAACCCUCGCCCUGUGUUGCCAGCACGUCAUGGUGGGAACUCACGGGGGACCGCCGGGGUCAACUCGGAGGAAGGUGGGGAUGACGUCAGAUCAUCAUGCCCCUUACGUCCAGGGCUUCACGCAUGCUACAAUGGCCGGUACAACGGGAUGCGACACGGCGACGUGGAGCGGAUCCCUGAAAACCGGUCUCAGUUCGGAUUGGAGUCUGCAACCCGACUCCAUGAAGGCGGAGUCGCUAGUAAUCGCGGAUCAGCAACGCCGCGGUGAAUGCGUUCCC